AAUAUAUUAAAGUGUGAGCUUCUCUAAUACUUAUAACCAAGUAGAUACUAAAAUAUUAUGCAGGCCAGUUUCGUGAGAUGUGUAGAACUAGCAUCAGCUAAAGAGUUUCAGGUUUUCUUUUAGUGGCCCAGAUAAAAAAUGUUAAAUUAAUUUCCUUGAAUAAUUUGGUAAAGUUGAUGGUAGGUAUUCAGCACCAUGGCGAAAGAGGGGGAGCAGCUCUCAAAAUCUAGUAGAUAGUAUCCAGAUCCUAAAUUUAUGUCACCAAAUGACUCACAGAAGACUUAAUGAUUUAGCUGUUCUCAUCCCUGAGCCAUAUAUGAUAAAAGCUUUGAUUGUGGAUUAUGGAAAUUAAAUAGACUCAAUAUAAAGUUUGUACUGUUUGGGAAAUGGAAUGGGCUGCAUUGUAAACUAAUGAGCUUUCCAUCUUUUGAAGCGUUUAAGUAAAGGCUCAAUGACUACUUUUCAAUAAUUUGAUGGAAGGAAUUCUUACAUUUGGGAGGAAUUAGACUAAAGAAUCUUCCAUACCUAGUUCAAUUCUAGAGUUCUAAAAUUAAAGGAUGUGAAGAAAUAGAGUUGAAGAUUAAGUGAUGAUAAUAGCACAUGGCUAUUGUAUAAUUAGAUGGACUUUACAAAGAAAGACUCAUAAAUGGGUAUUUGGAAGGAAUCUGAAAAAGAAAGGCAUGCCAUGGUAUUUUAAGUAGACAGUGAUAAACAACAAAAUGAUGUACAUACAUCUCUUCUAGUAUUAGAAGUUGUAAGAGAAAGGAACCUACUCUAAAAUGCUCAGCAAAGAGAGCAUAAGGAAAAUGAAAAAGGGAGCCUUUUUAAAGACUGAGAACUCAAAUGGAUUUUAAGAGUGCUAGAAAUAGAAACCAAAGGAUUUUUAUAUCUGCAUUACUUACAGGAAGGGAACAAAACAAGUAGGAAAACAAAACUGUAGUUUAUUGGAGCUAGAUAGUCGAUAGACUUUUGAAAAGGUUCUGUUUGACUUAGGAAGGACACUUAAUGAGUAGUUUCUACAAGGAAAGGAUGUGGCCCCAGCACAUUGUGAGCAAGAUGGUCUUUGCACACAUCUUUUAACAGACAAAUAAAAAAGGGAGAAUUGGGGAAGAAAAAGACCCAGGAGUCAAGCUAGGAUACAAUGGAAAAGUCCUUGGGAGGGUUAACAGUAGAAACAGAAGGACUUUGUUGAGUGAACGUGGUAGAAAUCCUAUCUUCAAGAAAUGUAUUAAGUUCUCCCCACUUCUGUUGGAAGAGCAUAAUAAUUGUAUGGGGAUAAAAAAGCACAAUGUGAAUAUGGAAUGAUGAGAGCCCCUGACCAAUACGUGGCUUUGGGACAGUUAUUGAAUUUCUCAAGAUCUCUCAUUGUUUCAGAUAUUAGGAAGGUAGAUUUUUUCCAGCUCUGAGAUUCUCUCCUGGUGCCUCAUUAAGACUGAAUUAGGUACACACUCCAUAACCUAAAAACUCAGACAAAAUGAUUUAGUUUGCACCACCUGGUUUAUUGUGGCCUAUAGAUAAUAAGUAACAGGUAGAAAACGGAUAAUUUUGUGACGAUUCCAAAGUGUGAAAGUUAUGGAGAAAUCUCCUGCAUGGGCAGAUGAGAACUGAAGAUACCAGCGAUGCUGACGAAAUGAAGUGUAGAACAGGAGUUCCCGUCGUGGCGCAGUGGUUAACGAACCCUACUGGGAACCAUGAGGUUGCGGGUUCGAUCCCUGCCCUUGCUCAGUGGGUUAACGAUGAUCCGGCGUUGCCGUGAGCUGUGGUGUAGGCUGCAGACGCGGCUCGGAUCCAGCGUUGCUGUGGCUCUGGCGUAGGCUGGUGGCUACAGCUCCAAUUCGACCCCUAGCCUGGGAACCUCCAUAUGCUGCGAGAGCGGCCCAAGAAAAUGGCAAAAAGAC
RNAcentral lists this long non-coding RNA (1898 nucleotides) under Sus scrofa (pig). RNAcentral describes it as "lncRNA (ENSSSCG00050020571.1)". The record is from RNAcentral. Lineage: Eukaryota; Metazoa; Chordata; Mammalia; Artiodactyla; Suidae.